This 427-nucleotide ribosomal RNA is filed under the name uncultured bacterium. Its description in RNAcentral is "partial 16S ribosomal RNA". It matches the Rfam family "Bacterial small subunit ribosomal RNA", at positions 355 to 774 of the family's 1533-position model. The record is from RNAcentral.
UGGGGAAUAUUGCACAAUGGGCGCAAGCCUGAUGCAGCCAUGCCGCGUGUAUGAAGAAGGCCUUCGGGUUGUAAAGUACUUUCAGCGAGGAGGAAGGCGUUGUGGUUAAUAACCGCAACGAUUGACGUUACUCCCAGAAGAAGCACCGGCUAACUCCGUGCCAGCAGCCGCGGUAAUACGGAGGGUGCAAGCGUUAAUCGGAAUUACUGGGCGUAAAGCGCACGCAGGCGGUCUGUCAAGUCGGAUGUGAAAUCCCCGGGCUCAACCUGGGAACUGCAUCCGAAACUGGCAGGCUUGAGUCUUGUAGAGGGGGGUAGAAUUCCAGGUGUAGCGGUGAAAUGCGUAGAGAUCUGGAGGAAUACCGGUGGCGAAGGCGGCCCCCUGGACAAAGACUGACGCUCAGGUGCGAAAGCGUGGGGAGCAAACA